Molecule: unclassified non-coding RNA, 267 nt
Filed under: Hevea brasiliensis (rubber tree)
Lineage: Eukaryota; Viridiplantae; Streptophyta; Magnoliopsida; Malpighiales; Euphorbiaceae
Source: RNAcentral
GGAAGAGAGCCUCAACCUUCGCCUCCUUCUUCCUGUUAGGCAGAGGGCUUUUCUUUUUUUGGUUUUGAGUUUGCAUUAGGUUAUAUUCUCGUGGUGCUCAUAAUAGAAGCAGUGCUUAGAAACAUGUUGUUUUGUUCUGGAGUUGGUGGAAAUCAGUAACAGUUUGACAGAAUCUGCAAGGACAUAUAGAGGGAGUUUAGCACUGCAGGUUGGGUUAAGUGUACAAGUCCAAUGUCAUAGAAGUUUGCCAAAAAGCUCUAGGAACAA